Molecule: ribosomal RNA, 116 nt
Filed under: Candidatus Harrisonbacteria bacterium RIFCSPHIGHO2_02_FULL_42_16
Lineage: Bacteria; Candidatus Harrisoniibacteriota
Also listed under: 1 other name
Source: RNAcentral
GUUGGUGCUUUAUCCAAACGUGCUCCACCUCUUCCCAUUCCGAACAGAGAAGUGAAAGCGUUUGUGUCCGAUGAUAUUAUCUGCUUCGGCGGAUGAGAAAGUAGGAUGUGCCAACA